UCUGCUGUGCCUUUUUGAGGACGGAGUUGAUGUUGGUCGCCCACUUCAGGUCCUGAGAGAUUGUAAUUCCCGGGAACUUGAAGGGCUCGACGGUUGACACAUGGCAGCUGGCGAAGGAUGCCUCCUGAAGUCCACGAUCAUCUCUACAGUCUUGAGCGUGUUCAGCUCCAGGUUGUGUUGGCCACACCACAGCUCCAGCCGCUCCACUUCCUGUCGAUAUGCAGACUCGUCACCGUCCUUGAUGACAGUGGUGUCAUCUGCAAACUUCAGGAGUUUGACAGUCGGGUUCGCUGAGGUGCAGUCGUUCGUGUAGAGAGAGAAGAGCAGCGGAGAGAGGACACAACCUUGGGGCGCCCCAGUGCUGAUGCUGCGUGUGGAUGAGGUGGCCUCCCCCAGCCUGACCUGCUGUGUCCUGCCCGUCAGAAAGCUGUAAAUCCACUGGCAGAUGGCAGUGUUCCCUCCGUGCUCCUCGUCAAGUGGAUUCCUGCCACCACGCCGUCAAAGCCUGCCGCCUGUUCUCAUCAUCGCCUGUCGCACGUCCCUGCCUCCACCACCUGCCAGCGCACCUCAAGGAGUAAACCCCUUGGAGUAAACUGUUCAUCACAACCUUGUGUACCCAUGUCUUGAUGGUGCAGUGCCUGCACCUGUUGCAGCGCGUCCUGCCAGCUCUUCAAAGACUCAAGUGGCGCAUCAGGUCCAUGCGCAACAAGUGCAUCGGGGGCAGGAGGAGGGCUCGCUUCGGUCUGUCGCGCAGCUCAUGGAAGAAGAAGAAGAAGAAGAAGAAGAAGGGAAAAGAAAUACAAAGCCACUUCAGUCACUUCCAUGUCUCCUCUGGUGAGCUUUUGAGUCAACGGUGUGCAGCUGCUGACGAGCCAAGGCGCGAGAUGCUCAGGAGGAAGUCGAAGGAGCCGCGCAGAUCCCAGGGAAAGACUGCCCACCAUCCCUUUAAGUGACUGGAGGGAGCUCUGAUUGGCUGUUUGGCCUUGCCCUCUCUCUCCUUCCCUCUGCCUCAAAUAAGUCGAUUUCCAUUUCACUCCCCUGCUUUGGAAACCCACGGAAAUUUGAGCUGCGCGCCUCUUGCGCGCCACACGUCCCGCUACAAGAUUCGUUGACACGCGGAACAAAUACAAUGGAACCUUGGCUGGCGAUUACAAACUGCAUUUGAAACGAUCAAGUUGGUCAGGUUGCCUAAAAGUGAAUCACUUGGACACUUAUAGGCCAUACACAUGAAGAAAACAAAAAACAAACAAAAAACAAAAAACAAAAAAAUGGCGGCGGUAACUGUGCGUGCGUUCACGUGCAACGUAACAACGUAUUUUCUGCGCCGCUGGCGAACUACACUCGUUCAGUGCGCACCGUUCGUAAAAUCGAAACCUCCUGAGUCGAGAACCGCGUAAGGAUUUAACCAAUACAAAAUGUCAAACACGAGACAGCGUUCAUAAGAGACGAUAACAAGUGGGAAGGUAAUUAAGCAACAAUAAUAUGAUGUUGGUAAGUAUGGGAAUGUAUUAUGCAAGGUUUCAUUUUUUGUUGUUCUUGCGGAAACCACAAUAAUAAAGUUGGUUUUGAGUGACACUGUCAGCAGCUUAAUAAUAGUGUAUAACAAAAAAAUAUAUAUAUUGCAGUUGUGUAGAACAUCAUCAUUGCAAAGCCGCAAUAAUAACACGUUGCCAAAUAAAUACCUUUAUUCUUCAAUGUCAAUCAAGAUUUUUUUAUUUUUUUUGUAAUCGCAGCACUUAUCGUAUAGGCUUGUCGAUAAUUAUAUUACAUAAUCCCCUAUAUGAAUACCAGGGCAUUCAGCUAUUCUCUUUUUACCCCUCUAAUAUAUAUUUAUUGUCAUAUAUUGUAUAUCUAUGUUAUAGUUACGUUCGUUCCUGUAUAUUAUGCAAUAUUGAAUACAGGCUUUCUUCAAUUUAGAUUCUAUUCUAGCAUGGCGCGUCUUUCAGAAUUUCAAGGAAACACUUCCAUCUAGUGGAUAUAUGCCGCAUUACAUGUACAAAACAUAACCCCUCAUAGCAGUAUUGACACAAAUCACUUUUUUUUUUUUUUUUUUUUUUUUUUUUAAAGGUUGGGCGCCACAG
Molecule: long non-coding RNA, 2081 nt
Organism: Phycodurus eques (leafy seadragon)
Lineage: Eukaryota; Metazoa; Chordata; Actinopteri; Syngnathiformes; Syngnathidae
Exons: 3
Source: RefSeq, a predicted model, not a curated record